CAGCCACACUGGAACUGAGACACGGUCCAGACUCCUACGGGAGGCAGCAGUGGGGAAUAUUGCACAAUGGGCGCAAGCCUGAUGCAGCUAUGCCGCGUGUAUGAAGAAGGCCUUUGGGUUGUAAAGUACUUUCAGCAGCGAAGAAGGCGAUAAAGCUAAUAACUUUAUCGAUUGACGUUACCUGCAAAAGAAGCACCGGCUAACUCCGUGCCAGCAGCCGCGGUAAUACGGAGGGUGCGAGCGUUAAUCGGAAUUACUGGGCGUAAAGCGCACGUAGGUGGUUUGUUAAGUCAGAUGUGAAAUCCCCGGGCUUAACCUG
This 319-nucleotide ribosomal RNA is filed under the name Candidatus Pantoea carbekii. Its description in RNAcentral is "bacterial SSU rRNA". It matches the Rfam family "Bacterial small subunit ribosomal RNA", at positions 305 to 616 of the family's 1533-position model. The record is from RNAcentral. Lineage: Bacteria; Pseudomonadati; Pseudomonadota; Gammaproteobacteria; Enterobacterales; Erwiniaceae.